UACGAAGGGGGCUAGCGUUGUUCGGAAUUACUGGGCGUAAAGGGCGCGUAGGCGGCCAACUAAGUUAAGCGUGAAAGCCCAGGGCUCAACUCUGGAAUUGCGCUUAAUACUGGUAGGCUUGAGUACGGGAGAGGAUAGUGGAAUUCCCAGUGUAGAGGUGAAAUUCGUAGAUAUUGGGAAGAACACCAGUGGCGAAGGCGGCUAUCUGGACCGUAACUGACGCUGAGGCGCGAAAGCGUGGGGAGCAAACAGG
This 253-nucleotide ribosomal RNA is filed under the name uncultured bacterium. RNAcentral's name for it is "partial 16S ribosomal RNA". It matches the Rfam family "Bacterial small subunit ribosomal RNA", at positions 524 to 776 of the family's 1533-position model. The record is from RNAcentral.